Molecule: ribosomal RNA, 407 nt
Filed under: uncultured Marmoricola sp.
Lineage: Bacteria; Bacillati; Actinomycetota; Actinomycetes; Propionibacteriales; Nocardioidaceae
Description: bacterial SSU rRNA
Rfam family: Bacterial small subunit ribosomal RNA
Source: RNAcentral
UGGGGAAUAUUGGACAAUGGGCGAAAGCCUGAUCCAGCAACGCCGCGUGAGGGAUGACUGCCUUCGGGUUGUAAACCUCUUUCAGCGGGGACGAAGCGAAAGUGACGGUACCCGCAGAAGAAGCACCGGCCAACUACGUGCCAGCAGCCGCGGUAAUACGUAGGGUGCGAGCGUUGUCCGGAAUUAUUGGGCGUAAAGGGCUCGUAGGCGGUUUGUCACGUCGGGAGUGAAAACUCAGGGCUUAACCCUGAGCCUGCUUCCGAUACGGGCAGACUAGAGGUAUGCAGGGGAGAACGGAAUUCCUGGUGUAGCGGUGAAAUGCGCAGAUAUCAGGAGGAACACCGGUGGCGAAGGCGGUUCUCUGGGCAUUACCUGACGCUGAGGAGCGAAAGUGUGGGGAGCGAACA